Long non-coding RNA from Apis cerana (Asiatic honeybee), 2062 nucleotides. RefSeq lists it as uncharacterized. The record is from RefSeq and is a predicted model, not a curated record. NCBI's taxonomy places the organism in Eukaryota, Metazoa, Arthropoda, Insecta, Hymenoptera, Apidae.
CAUUGAUAUUGUUAAAUAUUUCACGACUGCUCAAAUUGGACAUCGUACCAGAUUCGGACUUCUCGUUCAUCAUGUCUGCAGUCAAGAAUUAAUCAUUGACCAACUGUUUUAAAAUAACAACAGAGCAGAUAAAGAAUAUAUCUUUAAACAUAUAAAGUAUCAUAAGGCGAGUUCCAGACAAUAAAAAUGGCGAGAAAUUAUAAGAAUUGAAACAGACUAACUUUUAUUAGGAUUUUUAUCGUUAAAUAGUUAUUCCUAUAAAUUCGAUAUUUCGAAUAUUUGCUUUUGAUUUUACUUCGAUCUGCUCUAUCACAUAAAAAAUACAUUAUAAGUGUAUUGUAAUGCAACGUGCGAAUAACAUUAAAAGAUAACCACAUAAAUUAAAGGAUGUAAAUAAAAAAAAGCAACUUUGGAUUGUAUUAAAAAUAAAUUUAUAUUUACAAGCAAGGAAAAAAUAAUAAUUACUAAUAAAACGUUUUAUGAAUCGUAAGCAUAAUAGGAUCAAAGACAAAUUCAUGAUAAAUCGAUUGUAUACAAAUAAUUCGAAUUUACGAUUAUUUUAUUAUAUUCACAUUUAAAAUCUGAAAUUCGUUUGACAAAAUAAAUAUUAUAAAUUACCUGUUAUUAAUAGUAAGUACGUAAAGUUUUGAAAUCUUAAUAAAGAAAACGGUUAACAACAUUAGUAUUGCAAAACUGUUUCUCGCAUUAUGUAGAAUAUUUUUUUUUGGCAAGACAAAAAGUAUGUACGUUCAUUUGUAUGCAAAUUAUUUUAUAAUUAUAAUUAGCUUAAAUCUUUUGUAAAGAUAUUGAACCUCUUCUUCUAUCGAUAUUAUUUUCUUACAAUCUUUUUCACAAAUGCCAUCAUAAAGGAAAUUUCUUAUAAUGAAACGUAGAAAAUUAAGAAAGAAAGCAUAAAUAAUAACAUAUGACAUGAAAGAAACAAUGCGUUAACUCUCAAUAUAUGACUAACAUUUACUAUAUUAAUAUCUUCUUAUAAACUAAAACGAAAUUAACUUUGGCAGUCGAAUCCAAAUAAUGGACUACGUGCAUCGCAUCUAAAUGUAAUGUUUCUAAUAUUCUAUCAUAGGACACAGUAAAUUUGGCAAGGAUUACGAUGUACAUAAAAGCACAUGUUUUUGUACGCGGUUUCGGUGAAAAUGCAUAUUGCGGAUAGAUUUUCGCGAUAACAAUAGGUCAAAAAUUAAAAAGGUAUAACAAAACAUAAUUGUAACAAAAAAUUUAAAAAACUACGAGGUAAUAAUUUUUUCAAGUGAAUAAGUAACACUCGAUAGAUCUGAAAAACUUAUUCGAUAAACUAACAAAGUAAGAUAACAUGAUCAUUACGGAUUUUUAUGAUUCUAUUACACAUACUGGUAACAUUGCUUAUAAUAAAUCGUACGUUGACACAAUCAUCUGAAUAUUUCGAUUCAUUAAAUUCUACAAUAUAACAUAAUAUAUCACUACGUAACAAUGAUAUACUGUUUAUUUAAUUGCGCAUCUAAAAUAUGAAAAUAUACUAUAUAAUACAUAACUUUAUCGUUCAAAUAUAUACUAAAAAGACAGUUGAUAUGAUACGAUAUCGUUAGAAUAUCAUGCACAUGCAAAAGACACUUUGAACAUAAAAACGUCUUGCGACAUGCAUGUACAAUAGAAAAUUAAUGCUAUUGGAUAGAGCGUAAGCAGGAUAUUUUAAGUUACUAAAAGAGUACCGCUUUUUUCUUAUAUAUUAUCUCUUAUUUUUUGUGGAGCGAGUUAUAAAAACUGACUUGUUCGCCUUCGUUUUUUGAAUGUGAUAAUUUCUUAUUGAUAAUCAAGAACGAUGACUAUAAUAAUAUGAAGAUUAAAUAAGGAACAUGUUUAUGAAUAUUUAAUGUUUUUUUCACGAUAUAACGCAGCAACACUUUUGGCACUUACUUUCUUUUCUAACGAUAUUAUUCUUGCAACUUUCUGCAUCAGAUUUAUAUGCUUUUAAGUUAAUGUCCUCUGUAUGAUCGUUUUGACUUUGUACAGAAUUACUUCUUGCAACUUGUUGUGAACCUAUUAUUUCACUUUUGCUAUCAAA